Molecule: ribosomal RNA, 252 nt
Filed under: uncultured bacterium
Lineage: Bacteria
Description: partial 16S ribosomal RNA
Rfam family: Bacterial small subunit ribosomal RNA
Source: RNAcentral
UACGUAGGUGGCAAGCGUUAUCCGGAUUUAUUGGGUUUAAAGGGUGCGUAGGCGGUCCGUUAAGUCAGCGGUAAAAUUGCGGGGCUCAACCCCGUCGAGCCGUUGAAACUGGCAGACUUGAGUUGGCGAGAAGUACGCGGAAUGCGCGGUGUAGCGGUGAAAUGCAUAGAUAUCGCGCAGAACUCCGAUUGCGAAGGCAGCGUACCGGCGCCAGACUGACGCUGAGGCACGAAAGCGUGGGGAUCGAACAGG